UCAAGCUAAAAAGGGCGCAAGGUGAAUGCCUUGGCACUGGGAGCCGAUGAAAGACGUGGUAAGCUGCGAAAAGCUUCGGGGAGGAGCAAACAUCCAUUGAUCCGGAGAUAUCUGAAUGGGGCAACCCAAUGGAGUUCAUACUCCAUUAUCCAAUACUGAAUCCAUAGGUAUUGGAAGGGAACCGCCUGAACUGAAACAUCUAAGUAGGGCGAGGAAGAGACAUCAAACGAGAUUCCGUAAGUAGUGGCGAGCGAACGCGGAAGAGGGCAAACCGAGAGGAGAAAUCCUUUCGGGGUACGGACUGCUUUUAGGACUGAAAGAGUUAACAGAAUGGCAUGGGAAGGCCAACCGAAGAGUGUGAGAGUCACGUAAGUAAAAAUUCUGACAGCUGCGCAGGAUCCAGAGUACGGCCAGACACGUGAAACCUGGUCGGAACAUGGGGGGACCACCCUCCAACCCUAAAUACUACCCAGUGACCGAUAGCGUAUAGUACUGUGAAGGAAAGGUGAAAAGGACCCCGGGAGGGGAGUGAAAGAGAACCUGAAACCUUGUGCCUACAAGCACAUAGAGCCCGUCAAAGGGUGAUAUGGUACUUUUUGUAGAACGGUCCGGCGAGCGAUUGUACGUUGCGAGCUUAAGGUCUUAAGGACUGGAGGCGUAGCGAGAGCGAGUCUAAACAGGGCGUUUAGUAGCGUGCAAUGGGCCCGAAACCGGGUGACCUACCCAUGAUCAGGCUGAAGUGAAAGUAAAAUUUCAUGGAGGGCCGAACCGACCUCCGUUGAAAAGGCGGCGGAUGAAUUGUGGGUAGCGGAGAAAUUCCAAUCGAACUCGGAGAUAGCUGGUUCUCCCCGAAAUAGCUUUAGGGCUAGCCUCAUGUUAGAUAUCCGGAGGUAAAGCACUGAAUGGCCUAGCGUCCGAGAGGAUAGCGAAGCCUAUCAAACUAAGAAUGCCGGAAUAUUGAUGCAUGGGAGUCAGACAGUGUGAGAUAAAUCUCAUUGUCAAAAGGGAAACAGCCCAGAUCUACAGCUAAGGUCCCAAAUUGUAUCUAAGUGGAAAACGAUGUGGAAAUACGCAGACAACCAGGAUGUUGGCUCAGAAGCAGCCACUCAUUUAAAGAGUGCGUAAUAGCUCACUGGUCGAGCGUCUCUGCGCGGAAAAUUUAACGGGGCUAAGAUACAAACCGAAGCUUAGGCUGCAUACGUAAGUAUGCGGGGUAGGGGAGCGUUGUGUAAGCGGAGAAACAGUAGCGAAAGCGGCUGUGGAGUUUACAGAAGUGAGAAUGCCGGAAUGAGUAGCGCGAAUGAUGUGAGAAUCAUCAUGGCCGGAAACCUCAGGUUUUUGGAGGAAGGUUCGUCCGCUCCAAGUUAGGCGGGAGCUAAGGUGAGGCCGAAAGGCGUAGCCGAUGCACAGACGGUAGAGAUUCCGUCCCCACCGAAAGAUUUAAGCGCAGGGACACUUUUAGAAGGUCGGAGCCAGGUGUUGGUUCUGGUAGAGAUCGAGGGAAGAUUAGUACCGAAGUCCGGCUGGAUAAGAGGCGAGAAAAGCUGCGUGUAUAUCUAAGGUGCCCGUACCGCAAACCGACACAGGUAGGUAGGAAGAAGAUUCUAAGGCCAACGGGAGAAGGGUUGUUAAGGAACUCGGCAAGUUGACCCCGUAACUUCGGAAUAAGGGGUGCUCAUGAAAGUGAGCCGCAGAGAAUAGGCCCAGGCAACUGUUUACCAAAAACACAGGUUUGUGCUAAAUCGAAAGAUGACGUAUACGAGCUGACGCCUGCCCGGUGCUGGAAGGUUAAGAGGAGAUGUGCAAGCAUUGAAUUGAAGCCCCAGUGAACGGCGGCCGUAACUAUAACGGUCCUAAGGUAGCGAAAUUCCUUGUCAGGUAAGUUCUGACCCGCAUGAAAGGCGUAAUGAUUUGGGCACUGUCUCAACAGCCCGCCCGGCGAAAUUGUAGU
RNAcentral lists this ribosomal RNA (1951 nucleotides) under human gut metagenome. RNAcentral's name for it is "bacterial LSU rRNA". It matches the Rfam family "Bacterial large subunit ribosomal RNA", at positions 3 to 2048 of the family's 2925-position model. The record is from RNAcentral.